Nerophis ophidion (straightnose pipefish) is the source of this 340-nucleotide long non-coding RNA. RefSeq lists it as uncharacterized. The transcript is spliced from 3 exons. NCBI's taxonomy places the organism in Eukaryota, Metazoa, Chordata, Actinopteri, Syngnathiformes, Syngnathidae. The record is from RefSeq and is a predicted model, not a curated record.
GUUACAUCAUCAACAUGACGCUGCGUCUACUUCUCCACUCGGGAAGUUCCGUUCUUCACAAGUUGUGAUAACAACAUUGAUAGCAACACUUCUCGGACAUGUUUUCAGCGUGUUGACAAUUGUGUGUUCUGGACUAGCGGACGUGUGUACAUGUUGCACGGAGUAACAGGAAAAAGAAGGGAGUUAUUCCCUUUCAUAAAAUAGGCUGACCAUAUUCUGAAAUCCCAAAUAGAGGACACGUGCCAAGGCGGGCAGCACACCAAGGCCGGCACUAGGACUUCGCAUGGCUGCAGUUGUGUGACCUCAAGUAUGCAAGAAUCCAGGAGAGCAGAAAGCAGGU